AAACAUGUCUUCUUGGUUUUUAUAGGAAGUCUGACCUGCCCAGUGAAUAAGAAUUUUUAACGGCCGCGGUAUUUUGACCGUGAAAGGUAGCAUAAUCAUUAGUCUUUUAAUAGAAGGCUGGCAUGAAUGGUUUGACGAGGUGCUGACUGUCUCAUUUAAUUUUAUAUUAGAAUUUAACUUUUUAGUUAAAAGGCUAAAAUUUUUUUGGAAGACGAGAAGACCCUAUAGAGCUUUAUAAUACUUUUGUCUAAUCAUAUUUAGUUUAAUUUCUUUGGUUAUUCAUAUUAUUAUUCUGUUGGGGUGACAAAAAUAUAUAAUUAACUUUUUUAUUUAUAUAACAUUAAUUUAUGAUUUAUAGGAUCCAUUUUUAGUGAUUAUUAGACUAAGUUACCUUAGGGAUAACAGCGUAAUCUUCUUUCAGAGUUCAAAUUUACAAGAAGGCUUGCGACCUCGAUGUUGGAUUAAGAUUAUAAUUAGGUGCAGCCGCUUAAUUUUAUAGGUCUGUUCGACCUUUAAUUUCUUAC
RNAcentral lists this ribosomal RNA (524 nucleotides) under Lestes alacer. RNAcentral's name for it is "partial 16S ribosomal RNA". It matches the Rfam family "Archaeal large subunit ribosomal RNA", at positions 1903 to 2668 of the family's 2987-position model. The record is from RNAcentral. Lineage: Eukaryota; Metazoa; Arthropoda; Insecta; Odonata; Lestidae.